RNAcentral lists this ribosomal RNA (256 nucleotides) under uncultured bacterium. Its description in RNAcentral is "partial 16S ribosomal RNA". It matches the Rfam family "Bacterial small subunit ribosomal RNA", at positions 1244 to 1500 of the family's 1533-position model. The record is from RNAcentral.
GAGAAACGAAACAGUGAUGUGGAGUAAAACUUAAAAAAGCGGUCCCAGUUCGAAUUGAAGGCUGAAAUUCGCCUUCAUGAAGUCGGAAUUGCUAGUAAUGGCAGGUCAGCAUACUGCCGUGAAUACGUUCCCGGGCCUUGUACACACCGCCCGUCACACCAUGAGAGUUGGAGAUACCCGAAGCCUGUGAGCUAACUUUUAGAGGCAGCAGUCGAAGGUAGAAUCAAUGAUUGGGGUGAAGUCGUAACAAGGUACC